CAAAAUAAACAAGAUGGCGGAUCUAAACGCCCCUCUGAGGUGAUUUGUGACGUCACCUGCUUGCAAUUUGUCAAGCGCCUGUUGACAAAAUAUGAUCAAUAACAAAGAGUUUUGAAGUUUUACGAUAAUCGUCGUCAGGAUGUUCAUCAUGAAGAGUGAAGAAACAUUACAGAAAUUACAAGAAUCAUCAGAAUACAGGUCCAUGUAUAGAGAAAUCAUUCGUACUCAAAUACAAACCUUGAUUGACCAUCUGGCAGUAGCAGGAGAAGAAAGUGUGUUAUUAACAGCUUGUACUGAGGAAAAUGAUGUCACAGGAAAGUCAAUAAUUGUUGGGACCGAGCUUGGACAAGAUUUUCUUACUCAGGAAAAUGUGCUAUGUAAAUUUAAAGAAUUUUGUUUGCAGAAAAAA
Long non-coding RNA from Ruditapes philippinarum (Manila clam), 409 nucleotides. RefSeq lists it as uncharacterized. The transcript is spliced from 3 exons. The record is from RefSeq and is a predicted model, not a curated record. Lineage: Eukaryota; Metazoa; Mollusca; Bivalvia; Venerida; Veneridae.